Molecule: transfer RNA, 73 nt
Filed under: Paramuricea clavata
Lineage: Eukaryota; Metazoa; Cnidaria; Anthozoa; Malacalcyonacea; Plexauridae
Rfam family: tRNA
About the family: Transfer RNA (tRNA) molecules are approximately 80 nucleotides in length.
Source: Rfam by way of RNAcentral
GCUUCUGUAGCUCAGUUGAUUAGAGCGCUGCACCGGAAUCGCAGGGCCGUAGGUUCAAUUCCUACCAGAGGAC